Pelobates cultripes (western spadefoot toad) is the source of this 359-nucleotide non-coding RNA. The record is from the annotation of a GenBank genome assembly. NCBI's taxonomy places the organism in Eukaryota, Metazoa, Chordata, Amphibia, Anura, Pelobatidae.
GCAGGGCAGACCAAACUCUACAUUUCCCAAGAGAGGAUGGAGAAUAUUCGGGAGGUCGAGAGAAGGGGUUUCAUUUGAAUCUUUGCCCAGAAAGACACAUUGGAAAAAAUGACUAUUGACAUACAAAUCCUUCAACAUGCUGGCUUGCCAUCUAUCUACAAAGUAGCCAUCACAGCCGGAAUCCAGCUGUAGUGGACUUGGGCAACAACACAGCGCUUUGAGUGAACGCUGCCAUUGCAUUGCAGACAACCAAACCUGUGAGAUGACACAAGUCAGUCCAUCCACUUGAUAGUUCUACAGGAACUAGGGUACAAAUCCAAGGCACUUUUUUUUUUACACUGAGAACCAGAAUACUGUCA